This 253-nucleotide ribosomal RNA is filed under the name uncultured bacterium. RNAcentral's name for it is "partial 16S ribosomal RNA". It matches the Rfam family "Bacterial small subunit ribosomal RNA", at positions 524 to 776 of the family's 1533-position model. The record is from RNAcentral.
UACGUAGGUGGCAAGCGUUGUCCGGAAUUACUGGGCGUAAAGCGCGCGUAGGCGGUUUUGUAAGUCGGGUGUGAAAUCCCCAAGCUUAACUUGGGAACUGCAUUCGAGACAGCAUAGCUAGAGUAUGGGAGAGGGAAGUGGAAUUUCAGGUGUAGCGGUGAAAUGCGUAGAUAUCUGAAGGAACAUCAGUGGCGAAAGCGACUUCCUGGACCAAUACUGACGCUCAUGUGCGAAAGCGUGGGGAGCAAACAGG